AAUCACGAAUAAACGAAAAAUCAAUUUAUGGCCAUAUGGGCGAUAUGAUAUAAAAAUGUUUUUUGAACCCACACGCGUCCACAAGUGCCAUUACGCUACCCCAUAGCACAGUGUUCCACCGUUCGGUUAUCCCCCACAGUUUCUGUCAUCUCCAGCUCUCUCCAUGUUGCUGCAGUGCUACUUAUAUCCGCCCUCAAUCCUCCCACAACUCCGCACAAAUCUUCAAUCCUCGCUAUUUCUUCCUACUCGCUGUCGUACUUCUCACGCUCCGCUGCUCCGUUCGAUCACCGUCAAGGCUUCAAUAUCUACUGUCAUGGACGCUGACGCUCAAGUGGCCUUGCUAAAGAAAGGCAUAGCUGAACUGUAUGACGAGUCAUCUGGUAUAUGGGAAGCCUUAUGGGGAGACCACAUGCACCACGGGUUCUACGACCCGGAUGUUAAAGUUUCGGGCUCUCUUUCCGAUCAUAGAGCUGCUCAGAUCCGAAUGAUCGAGGAGGCUCUCAGGUUCGGCAGCGUUCCAGAGGACCCAAAAAAGUGGCCUAAGAACGUGGUUGAUGUUGGCUGUGGGAUUGGAGGCAGCUCUAGGUACCUGGCAAAGAAAUUUGGGGCUCAUUGCCAAGGCAUUUCUCUCAGUCCUUUCCAAGUCCAGAGGGCCAAUUCUCUAGCAGCUGCUGAAGGACUGGCUGACAAGGCUUCCUUCCAAGUUGCAGAUGCUUUAGACCAACCAUUUCCAGAUGGGCAGUUUGAUCUGGUCUGGUCAAUGGAGAGUGGAGAACAUAUGCCUGACAAAAGAAAGUUUGUUAGUGAGUUGGCUAGAGUUGCAGCCCCAGGAGCCAGAAUUAUUAUAGUAACAUGGUGUCAUAGGAACCUCAGCCCUUCUGAAGAAUCUUUGCAGACAUGGGAGAAAGCACAUCUGAAGAAGAUAUGUGACGCUUAUUAUCUUCCUGAAUGGUGUUCUGCUGCUGAUUAUGUUGAAAUGCUCGAGUCUCUCUCUCUACAGGAUAUUAAAACAGCAGAUUGGUCUCAGAAUGUGGCCUCUUUUUGGCCAGCAGUGAUUCGCUCGGCAUUGACUUGGAAGGGCUUGACUUCACUAGUGCGUAGUGGUAAGCUUAGUUUUAUUCCUGAAAUUUCUGAUUCAUUUUCUUUUGAAUCACAUUUGAUUUCAUCUGUUCAAAUGACAAUCAAUUAUUGUGAAAAUAUUUCAGUAAUCAGGCAGAGGAAUCUAAAAAUUGAAGAAUUUUCAUAUAUUUUUUUAAAACACUUCCAUACAUUUAUCUCAAAUUAUCGUUAGUAUAACAAGUCAACAUGUUAAUUUAGUACACAGAGCCAAUAAUAAAAUAUUAUGAUUUUAGAUUUCUGUUAUUAUUUUGCUCUUCAUAUUUCAGACGAAGUAAUUAUAGUUCUCGAAUAAAGUUAUUUUCAUUUCUGUCUCUUUCUUUGCAAAUUUGUGAUCCUACCAUGAAUGAUCAUGACCAUCAGGUCUAAAAACUAUUAGAGGAGCAUUGGUGAUGCCAUUGAUGAUCCAAGGAUACCAGAAAGGUCUUAUCAAGUUUGCCAUCAUUACAUGUCGAAAGCCUGAAUAAAUUUAUAGAAAGGUUGAAUGAACAACAGAUUGCGCAGAUAUGGCAAAGAUCAAAGGAUUUGAAUAAGGAUGACACUCACUCUUUUAGAAGUUUGAGAUUAAGCUUAUCAUCAUCAUUACAAGUAAAAUUAUUGAAUAAGGUAUAGUGAUUCCAUUGAUGAUCCAACAAGGAUACAAGAAAGACAUAUUAUUAGAGAAAAGGGAAUUAAAAAAUGGUGGGGAGGGGAUAUAUUUGUCACAUUAUCUACAAUGACAAAUUAUUUACAAUCUGUUUUAGUUUCCCUUAGUCUGUACCAUGUUAUAUUGUUAUGCUUGUUGCUAAUAAUAGAUUGCUUUAGUUGCUUAAUGCUUU
Molecule: unclassified non-coding RNA, 1934 nt
Filed under: Hevea brasiliensis (rubber tree)
Lineage: Eukaryota; Viridiplantae; Streptophyta; Magnoliopsida; Malpighiales; Euphorbiaceae
Source: RNAcentral